GCAGCGAAAAGUUAAUUCGAUUUAGCUCUUUUCUUACAUUUAAAUAAUCCUGUAUUUAGUUUAAAUUAUCGUUGAAUUCACUCGAGAGUUCGGGCGAUAAAGUCGGGAUCAAAACGUUGGCAAAGUAGUUGCUGUACAUUUGGAGGUUAUCUAACGUGAGUUAGCACAUGCGAAUUAUUAAGAUACUAGCUAGUUAAAACUUAUAACUAAGAAGAACAUGCAAAUUAAACUUAAAACUAUUAUCACAGGCUUCGCGGUGCUGGUACACAAAGGGUGUCGACUCAGUUGCCAAGACUAGAGUAGCAGACCAAUCUUUUAGCGUGUCAAACUGCUGAAAAGAACUGCGUUUUCUCUCGCAACA
Long non-coding RNA from Culex quinquefasciatus (southern house mosquito), 361 nucleotides. RefSeq lists it as uncharacterized. The record is from RefSeq and is a predicted model, not a curated record. The transcript is spliced from 3 exons. Lineage: Eukaryota; Metazoa; Arthropoda; Insecta; Diptera; Culicidae.